This 492-nucleotide ribosomal RNA is filed under the name uncultured bacterium. RNAcentral's name for it is "partial 16S ribosomal RNA". It matches the Rfam family "Bacterial small subunit ribosomal RNA", at positions 29 to 507 of the family's 1533-position model. The record is from RNAcentral.
AGUGAACGCUGGCGGUAGGCCUAACACAUGCAAGUCGAACGGCAGCACAGUAAGAGCUUGCUCUUACGGGUGGCGAGUGGCGGACGGGUGAGGAAUACAUCGGAAUCUACUUUUUCGUGGGGGAUAACGUAGGGAAACUUACGCUAAUACCGCAUACGACCUACGGGUGAAAGCAGGGGAUCUUCGGACCUUGCGCGAUUGAAUGAGCCGAUGUCGGAUUAGCUAGUUAGCGGGGUAAAGGCCCACCAAGGCGACGAUCCGUAGCUGGUCUGAGAGGAUGAUCAGCCACACUGGAACUGAGACACGGUCCAGACUCCUACGGGAGGCAGCAGUGGGGAAUAUUGGACAAUGGGCGCAAGCCUGAUCCAGCCAUACCGCGUGGGUGAAGAAGGCCUUCGGGUUGUAAAGCCCUUUUGUUGGGAAAGAAAAGCAGCAGGUUAAUACCCCGCUGUUCUGACGGUACCCAAAGAAUGAGCACCGGCUAACUUCGUG